CCUACGGGAGGCAGCAGUGGGGAAUUUUGGACAAUGGGCGCAAGCCUGAUCCAGCAAUGCCGCGUGCAGGAUGAAGGCCUUCGGGUUGUAAACUGCUUUUGUACGGAACGAAACGGUCUGCCCUAAUACGGUGGGCUAAUGACGGUACCGUAAGAAUAAGCACCGGCUAACUACGUGCCAGCAGCCGCGGUAAUACGUAGGGUGCGAGCGUUAAUCGGAAUUACUGGGCGUAAAGCGUGCGCAGGCGGUUAUAUAAGACAGAUGUGAAAUCCCCGGGCUCAACCUGGGACCUGCAUUUGUGACUGUAUAGCUAGAGUACGGUAGAGGGGGAUGGAAUUCCGCGUGUAGCAGUGAAAUGCGUAGAUAUGCGGAGGAACACCGAUGGCGAAGGCAAUCCCCUGGACCUGUACUGACGCUCAUGCACGAAAGCGUGGGGAGCAAACAGGAUUAGAUACCCUGGUAGUCCACGCCCUAAACGAUGUCAACUGGUUGUUGGGUCUUCACUGACUCAGUAACGAAGCUAACGCGUGAAGUUGACCGCCUGGGGAGUACGGCCGCAAGGUUGAAACUCAAAGUAGUAGUUGGACGUGAGAGAGCGACGACGACGACGACGGAGGGAGGAGG
This 624-nucleotide ribosomal RNA is filed under the name uncultured bacterium. Its description in RNAcentral is "bacterial SSU rRNA". It matches the Rfam family "Bacterial small subunit ribosomal RNA", at positions 338 to 957 of the family's 1533-position model. The record is from RNAcentral.